AACGAACGCUGGCGGCAGGCUUAACACAUGCAAGUCGAACGCCCCGCAAGGGGAGUGGCAGACGGGUGAGUAACACGUGGGAACAUGCCCAAAGGUACGGAAUAUUCUCGGGAAACUGGGAGCAAUACCGUAUGUGCCCGAAAGGGGAAAGAUUUAUCGCCUUUGGAUUGGCCCGCGUUGGAUUAGCUAGUUGGUGGGGUAAAAGCCUACCAAGGCGACGAUCCGUAGCUGGUCUGAGAGGACGACCAGCCACACUGGGACUGAGACACGGCCCAGACUCCUACGGGAGGCAGCAGUGGGGAAUCUUGGACAAUGGGCGCAAGCCUGAUCCAGCCAUGCCGCGUGAGUGAUGAAGGCCCUAGGGUUGUAAACUCUUCGUGGGGACGAUAAUGACGGUACCCCAAGAAGAAGCUCCGGCUAACUUUCGUG
This 429-nucleotide ribosomal RNA is filed under the name uncultured bacterium. RNAcentral describes it as "bacterial SSU rRNA". It matches the Rfam family "Bacterial small subunit ribosomal RNA", at positions 29 to 507 of the family's 1533-position model. The record is from RNAcentral.